Molecule: non-coding RNA, 75 nt
Organism: Schistocerca piceifrons (Central American locust)
Lineage: Eukaryota; Metazoa; Arthropoda; Insecta; Orthoptera; Acrididae
Source: the annotation of a RefSeq genome assembly
UGCCCCGGAUGGCAGAGUGGUUAAUGCGCCUGCUUAUUAAGCAGGAGAUCCCGGGUUUGAAUCCCGGUCCGGUAC